This 584-nucleotide ribosomal RNA is filed under the name uncultured bacterium. Its description in RNAcentral is "partial 16S ribosomal RNA". It matches the Rfam family "Bacterial small subunit ribosomal RNA", at positions 355 to 1375 of the family's 1533-position model. The record is from RNAcentral.
UGGGGAAUUUUGGACAAUGGGCGAAAGCCUGAUCCAGCAAUGCCGCGUGUGUGAAGAAGGCCUUCGGGUUGUAAAGCACUUUUGUCCGGAAAGAAAUCCUUGGCUCUAAUACAGUCGGGGGAUGACGGUACCGGAAGAAUAAGCACCGGCUAACUACGUGCCAGCAGCCGCGGUAAUACGUAGGGUGCAAGCGUUAAUCGGAAUUACUGGGCGUAAAGCGUGCGCAGGCGGUUUGCUAAGACCGAUGUGAAAUCCCCGGGCUCAACCUGGGAACUGCAUUGGUGACUGGCAGGCUAGAGUAUGGCAGAGGGGGGUAGAAUUCCACGUGUAGCAGUGAAAUGCGUAGAGAUGUGGAGGAAUACCGAUGGCGAAGGCAGCCCCCUGGGCAAUACUGACGCUCAUGCACGAAAGCGUGGGGAGCAAACAGGAUUAGAUACCCUGGUAGUCCACGCCCUAAACGAUGUCAACUAGUUGUUGGGGAUUCAUUUCCUUAGUAACGUAGCUAACGCGUGAAGUUGACCGCCUGGGGAGUACGGUCGCAAGAUUAAAACUUAAAGGAAUUGACGGGGUCAUAGCUGUUUCCU